Molecule: ribosomal RNA, 690 nt
Filed under: Salmonella enterica subsp. enterica serovar Indiana
Lineage: Bacteria; Pseudomonadati; Pseudomonadota; Gammaproteobacteria; Enterobacterales; Enterobacteriaceae
Description: partial 23S ribosomal RNA
Rfam family: Bacterial large subunit ribosomal RNA
Source: RNAcentral
GUGGACGCCAGUCUGCAUGGAGCCGACCUUGAAAUACCACCCUUUAAUGUUUGAUGUUCUAACGUGGACCCGUAAUCCGGGUUGCGGACAGUGUCUGGUGGGUAGUUUGACUGGGGCGGUCUCCUCCUAAAGAGUAACGGAGGAGCACGAAGGUUGGCUAAUCCUGGUCGGACAUCAGGAGGUUAGUGCAAUGGCAUAAGCCAGCUUGACUGCGAGCGUGACGGCGCGAGCAGGUGCGAAAGCAGGUCAUAGUGAUCCGGUGGUUCUGAAUGGAAGGGCCAUCGCUCAACGGAUAAAAGGUACUCCGGGGAUAACAGGCUGAUACCGCCCAAGAGUUCAUAUCGACGGCGGUGUUUGGCACCUCGAUGUCGGCUCAUCACAUCCUGGGGCUGAAGUAGGUCCCAAGGGUAUGGCUGUUCGCCAUUUAAAGUGGUACGCGAGCUGGGUUUAGAACGUCGUGAGACAGUUCGGUCCCUAUCUGCCGUGGGCGCUGGAGAACUGAGGGGGGCUGCUCCUAGUACGAGAGGACCGGAGUGGACGCAUCACUGGUGUUCGGGUUGUCAUGCCAAUGGCACUGCCCGGUAGCUAAAUGCGGAAGAGAUAAGUGCUGAAAGCAUCUAAGCACGAAACUUGCCCCGAGAUGAGUUCUCCCUGAGACUUUAGGUCUCCUGAAGGAACGUUGAAGACGAC